UCCGUUUUUUGUGUCACACAUCAAAGUCCUUGAAACCACAGAUUAAUUAAACACAGAAUUACUGAUUCACGGAUGUCAUUCACUAUUGCUGUGUUCAAAUUCAGAUGCGACUUUUAUGGCCAUACAGUGAAGUAAAAACGAAUGCUGUCAGAGAGGUGCUGAUUAUAUUGGUUCAGACACUUUUGGUUUGUUUUACAAGCCCUGCUACUGCAACACAUUGAGGGGCAGAGAAGAAAGAGUGCUUGGAGACCAGCUGCUUUACACCAGCUCUCGCCUCCGUAGUGGGAUCCUAUUCACGUGAUAGAAGAUACACUCUGCCUAGGGAUUUUGUCUUUAACUGUCUCUUUCAAGGAUAAUGCCAGUGAGCUAUUGCUGCAGGUAUUUACUCUUAAUUUUCUUAUCCCAUUGAUACUACUACUGGCUCAGUGCUUUCUUGUUUUAUUGUGUUUCUUAGAUGGAACUACUAAUGGUAUUAGUGAUGUCACUAACGGUGUGUGCUGUAUUCUUUCCCAAAUAAACUACUCCUGGACUGGUGCUUCUGUGUUUUUUUUUUCUGUUUACUUUCUGCCCUCUAAAGCUAGCCAAUCACAGCAGAUGGCCACUUAUACUGAGCAUGGUUCUACUAGAGGUUUUUCUUGUUAAUAUGGAGUCCUUACUUACCACUGUAGCUACAUGCUUAGAACUCUCUGUUUUAUCAUCUGCCUUGAGAUGACAUUUGCUCUGAACUGGUGCUAUAUUCCUAAAAUUAAUAAAAUUGAAUUGAAUUGAAAUCUAACCUUAAUCGUAAAAAAGUUAGACCACUGAUUUUACUAAACAAAUAUUAAUUCAAAGUGAAAAAGUUUGAAAAAUAACAUACACCAUAAUUACUAGAUAUGUACAAAAUAUGAAAAACCUUAGAACUUAAAAGUUUGAGAGGGAAGAAUUAAGCCAUGUGUGGGUUGCUGUUUUGUUUUUAAAAUCCCAGUGUGUUAUGUAAAAGUACUGCAUGUGCAUUCUAAUAUAUCUGCUUAGCAAUUUAGUGUAUGCUAAAUAGUUGUGUAAAGAAAUUGUAAUAGCAUUAAAAAAUACUAAUACCUCAACUGACUCUCACAGUCAAUUGAGUUAUUGUAAAUCAAGUUUAAAAACAAGAAUAAACUCUAGAAAUCUGUUUAUUGCAUUUACUUAGCAGAAUGCACACAAAAGCAUGGAUCCAAAAUAUUAUGCACUCUAUGAAAUAUAAUCAAUUGUAUACAACUUUCUAAAUGCACAGAAGUUGUUUUGACAAUAGAUGACACUACAAAGUGACUGCAACAUGACCAAAGUUGGUGUCUAUACAAAACAAAGUUUCAAAAUGAAAUUAAAUAUAGAGGAUUACUUACUGUAAAGAUGUAAAAAUGACAGGAAUAAGAAACCAGUUUAAAAUACACAAAGUAAAUAAAUGUUUAUUGUCAGUGACAUAGAAAUUUAGCAGAUACAAUUUUUCUUAAAUGAAGCGACAGCAAUCAGUACACACAGCAUUUCAAAGAAUUUCCAAAACGAUUGUCGUUGCAAUUAUACUAUGUACAAGAAUGCGAAUCUUCAGAAUGUUGUCAAAA
This is a long non-coding RNA of Girardinichthys multiradiatus, 1574 nucleotides long. RefSeq lists it as uncharacterized. Lineage: Eukaryota; Metazoa; Chordata; Actinopteri; Cyprinodontiformes; Goodeidae. The transcript is spliced from 2 exons. The record is from RefSeq and is a predicted model, not a curated record.